GUAUCACAAAUAGAAAAAUUACAAGAAGUUAUCAUAUAAGUACCUUGUGAAGCAAUUGAUUGCUUGAUUCUCUUAUUCUUAGGCCUGUUUGGGUCAAGAGAAGCUAUAUAAGUCGAAUAAUUCUUUUUUUAAUAAUUCAACUUCUUGUAAAAGAAGCAUUCUGUCUCGCUCUUAUCGACUUUCGAUUUUUUACUCUGCUUUGGCU
RNAcentral lists this long non-coding RNA (205 nucleotides) under Elaeis guineensis (African oil palm). Its description in RNAcentral is "long non-coding RNA (EGUI_LNC040052)". Lineage: Eukaryota; Viridiplantae; Streptophyta; Magnoliopsida; Arecales; Arecaceae. The record is from RNAcentral.